GGUGGCUCUGUGGUAGAGCACUUGCCUUGCAUGCAUGAGGUCCUGGGUUCGAUUCCUCAGCACCA
This 65-nucleotide transfer RNA is filed under the name Dipodomys ordii (Ord's kangaroo rat). It matches the Rfam family "tRNA". From Rfam's summary of the family: Transfer RNA (tRNA) molecules are approximately 80 nucleotides in length. The record is from Rfam by way of RNAcentral. Lineage: Eukaryota; Metazoa; Chordata; Mammalia; Rodentia; Heteromyidae.